AUUGAACGCUGGCGGCAGGCCUAACACAUGCAAGUCGAGCGGAGGAAGGGAGCUUGCUCCUGGAUUCAGCGGCGGACGGGUGAGUAAUGCCUAGGAAUCUGCCUGGUAGUGGGGGAUAACGUCCGGAAACGGGCGCUAAUACCGCAUACGUCCUGAGGGAGAAAGUGGGGGAUCUUCGGACCGCACGCUAUCAGAUGAGCCUAGGUCGGAUUAGCUAGUUGGUGGGGUAAAGGCCUACCAAGGCGACGAUCCGUAACUGGUCUGAGAGGAUGAUCAGUCACACUGUAACUGAGACACGGUCCAGACUCCUACGGGAGGCAGCAGUGGGGAAUAUUGGACAAUGGGCGAAAGCCUGAUCCAGCCAUGCCGCGUGUGUGAAGAAGGUCUUCGGAUUGUAAAGCACUUUAAGUUGGGAGGAAGGGCAGUAAGUUAAUACCUUGCUGUUUUGACGUUACCAACAGAAUAAGCACCGGCUAACUUCGUG
This 484-nucleotide ribosomal RNA is filed under the name uncultured bacterium. RNAcentral's name for it is "partial 16S ribosomal RNA". It matches the Rfam family "Bacterial small subunit ribosomal RNA", at positions 30 to 507 of the family's 1533-position model. The record is from RNAcentral.